This is a long non-coding RNA of Oncorhynchus tshawytscha (Chinook salmon), 2728 nucleotides long. The record is from Ensembl. NCBI's taxonomy places the organism in Eukaryota, Metazoa, Chordata, Actinopteri, Salmoniformes, Salmonidae.
UGCAGACAUCCUUAUAGCCUCCACCUACAGUUCCUCAAGACAUGCAGACAUCCGUAUAGCCUCCACCUACAUCUCCUCAAGACUUGCAGACAUCCUUAUAGCCUCCACCUACAUCUCCUCAAGACAUGCAGACAUCCUUAUAGCCUCCACCUACAGCUCCUCAAGACAUGCAGACAUCCUUAUAGCCUCCACCUACAUCUCCUCAAGACAUGCAGACAUCCUUAUAGCCUCCACCUACAUCUCCUCAAGACUUGCAGACAUCCUUAUAGCCUCCACCUACAUCUCCUCAAGACAUGCAGUCAUCCUUAUAGCCUCCACCUACAGCUCCUCAAGACUUGCAGACAUCCUUAUAGCCUCCACCUACAGCUCCUCAAGACAUGCAGACAUCCUUGUCCCAUCCUUCUCUAGCUAAUUCCUUCACAAUCCUUCACUCUAACCCAAACCCUGUCCCACACCAACAUUUCAUUUAUUUUAUUCCUCAAAUAACAGCAACACACACGGCCGCUAAAUCAUGCUUGUGCAUGUGUGCACAAUAUAAAGUGUCAUGAGAUGGGUUGUAACUAAAGAGCUGGACCGGUUCUAAUCUGGUACUCCUAAAGAUGAUUGGCUGGAUGUACAGGUGUUCAAGCCAAUCACAGUCCAUUUCACUAUUUAUCAGGUCUGAAUGUAUUUUGGAACUAUGGGAUUGAAGGAACUUAACCUGGUCCAAGAUCUGUUUGUGCUGUCUUGCCAACCUCCCAUGGCCGUUGUCACGAGUUGGCAAGACAUUCGUUUUGGAAAUCCAAGACCCAGGGCAGAUUCUCUUGGUUGUUGCAGAGAGAGUCCUCUUCAGAGAGACAUCUCUCCCAACAAUUCAAGAGUUUGGGUCGGCGGAGUUUAAAUGUGGGUGGGGAUUGUGCUGUUUACACUAAAGGCAACAAGCGGAUAAGUCAGUAACAUAAGAAAGCUGGAUGUCCCAACUCCUUCCUGUCUUCUAUGCCAAGCUGACAUUGUACAUGUACAGAGGUGUAAGAACAUCGGUACUUUGUGGGAGGCAACCUGUCUUUCUAGAGAGACUAGCAAGGCAGCUCAAACAUAUCUAGGUCCAGGCUACUAGACCAGCUGAAGCAGUUUUAAAAUGGAGCGGCUAAGGUUUUGUUUAUUUUAUUGGGGGGCAUUAUUUGGCAUUAUUUCCUUUUUUAUUUUGUAUUUUUUACAGUUAGCCACUGUUAGUGUGCUUCAAGUGGGGGAAGUGUGCAAAACAAAAAUAUAAAAUAUAAAAUAUAAAAUGCAAGUUUCAAAGAUUUUACUGAGUUAAGGAAAUCAGUCAAUUGAAUUGACUGAUCAGUCAACUUGGAAUUAGGCCUACCCACUUGGGAACCAGGACCAGCCAAUAAGAAUUCCCCCCAAAAAAAGGGCUUUUUUACAGACAGAAAUAUUCAACAGUUUCAUCAGCUGCCCGGUUGGCUGGUCUCAGAUGAUCCCGCAGGAGAAGAAGCCGGAUGUGGAAGUCCUGGGCUGGUGUAGUUACAUGUGGUCUGCGGUUAUGAGGCCGGUUGGACAUACUUCCAAUACUUUUCUCGAGCCCCGUAGUCAUCCACAACGGCAAAACAACAAGACACAGGUACUCACACGACCAACGGACAUUGUAACAAUAAUCAACAGGACAAUGGUGAACAAAGGUCACAGGUAUACAAUUACUAAUCAAAUGGGAAUAGGGAUCCAGGUGUGCGUAAUGACAUUUCCGGAGGGAUCCGUGACAGCGACAUGUUUUAGAGUGGCCUUUUAUUGCCCCCAGCACAAGGUACACCUGUGUAAUGAUCAUGCUGUUUAAUUAGUUUCUUGACAUGCCACACCUGUUAGGUGGAUGGAUUAUCUUAGCAAAGGAGAAAUGCUCACUAACAGGGAUGUAAACAAAUUUGUGCACAAAAUACAUUUUUUUGUACGUAUGCAACAUUUCUGGGACACUUUACAUGUUGCGUUUAUAUUUUUGUUCAGUUUAGAAAGAAAAUAGAAAAAUAACAUUUGCGAGACAAGGUGAAGAAAGGAGAGAUGAGAUGAGGAAUGGAGAGAUAAGGUGAGGGAAGGAGAGAUACGGAGGGAAGGAGAGGGAGGGAGAGAGAAGGUGAGGGAAGGAGAGAUAAGGUGAGGGAAGGAGAGAUGAGGUGAGGGAAGGAGAGAUACGGAGCGGGAAGGAGAGAUAAGGUGAGGGAAGGAGAGAUAAGGAGAGGGAUGGAAAGAGAAGGUGAGGGAAGGAGAGAGAAGGUGAGGGAAGGAGAGAUAAGGAGAGGGAAGGAACUCUACACCUACCCCACUGGGCACGCACUGGUUGAAUAAACAUUGGUUCAACGUCAUUUGUCAACCUAUUUUGAUGUGGAAUCAACGUGGACAACACAUUUGAAUUCACGAAAAAGGUAAUCAACCAGCAUCGUAACCAUUGACAUUUGGGUCAAAUUUCAACUAAAAUACAAUGACUUCUUAAACAGAUCAGAGACCAGCCUAGAAUCUCUUAUCUUUAGAACAAAGAUCUUCUUCAAAAAAGAAACUCAACAUUGAAAAAAAGGACAAUCGUUGGAAGAACUAGGAACAAUCUACUCCCAUUGUAACUCUAUGUAUUCUGUGUGUUCGACUCCUCCAUGAUCGAACCAAUAGAGAUGAUCUAAACUAAAGAAAACAAUGUUCAACUUUUUUUCCCCCUCUGUCGUCAACUGUAAAUAAUAAAUUCAAUAAAAUAGUUUUUCAUUUCUGC